RNAcentral lists this long non-coding RNA (2305 nucleotides) under Salmo salar (Atlantic salmon). RNAcentral describes it as "lncRNA (ENSSSAG00000109677.1)". The record is from RNAcentral. Lineage: Eukaryota; Metazoa; Chordata; Actinopteri; Salmoniformes; Salmonidae.
UGACAUUUCAUGUGCCUUAAUGGCAAACUUUUAUGCAAUCUGUAAAUUACGAGCUUAGUUGAUUUAGCCAUGGAAAAAGCAAGGAACCUUCCCGCUAGCCAUGAUUAGCUGAGAUAAUGGAUGGGCUGGACAUACCCAGAGAUGAGUUCAGAUUGCUCUGCCAUGUAGCACUCUUCUGUCUAUAACAAUCCUGUCUAACACAGGGUUUUUGAAAGAUAACACGAAGAACUGCAAAAAUGUUGCUAAUGCUCUCCACUUUCUGGAGGACUGAGAUUUGAAAUUAGUGGAAUGCCCGAUGGAAGCAUUGAGAAAAUUGAGAAAAUUCAGUCGUUUGACUGCAAAUAUGUGGAGGGAGUCGAAAAGAGAACACACAGACGGCUUUUGUAUAAAACCCCUGUCUCCGGAUUACAUCUUUAAACUAAGGGAAACCAUGGUAUCCGUGACAGAGAGGGAGAAGCGUUUAUCCAUGUAUAUGGUUCUCUCCUCAGGAACAAGUGAUGAAGUUCCUGACUGAGAAGGAGGAGGAGGAGGCGUGGAAGGACUUCUUUGACUCUCAUCUCCAGGAGAAGCUCUGUGAGGAGAGAAGAUGGACGGAGAAGAAGUUCAGCAACCGGAAGAGGGAGGUGGAGAGCUGGAUCGUUGAGAUACAGCAGGAGUGGAGAUGGAGGGAGAAGGCUCAGAGGGACAUGGUGUUCAAGCUGCUGAUUAUGGACCUUCCUCAGAGGAGGAGAGUCAUUGAGAACCUCCGAGAGACGGACGACCCCGCCAGCGAUCAGCUGGAGAGAGAGAUGGACGGAGAGGACAGGAGGACGGAAAACAUUGGGAUGAUAAAGAGGAGUGAAGAGGGAGAUGGAAGGAGAGGAAAAGAGGUGGAGGAGAUGAAUGAGGGGUGCCGCCGCUGCCAAGGGGACGGAGCGAGAGGGAAGGAGAGAAACCAGAGCCGUGAAAGCAGACGAGGAGAAAACACGGCAUGACAUUCGAAGAGAGGAAGAAAAGAGGAAAAUCGAGGAGGGGGACAAGAAGGACGAGAUACUGAGUGUGUGAGAUUCGGUGAGAGAGAAGAGAAGGGACAGAGAGAGGAGGAGAGGAAGAGUCGAGAAACUGGGAUUGAUGGUAACAUUGAAAGUGAGGCAGUUGGUUUGAUGGAAGACAACAGAACGAUGCCUGAAGACGGUGUCGGACGGAUUGAGACAGAAAAGGAAAGGAGGAGUGAGAAGGCUGUGAGGGCAGAGGAAAAGGAGGCGUCUGAGGAGAGGGAAAUAAAGUUGGAGAAGAAGAGGAAAAUAGAGGCUAAGCGAGUGAUAGAGGAGGAGGAGAAGAAGUCUGAGGGUGAACAGAGUGAGAAAAAGACAAACGAGACAAAGCAAGAAAAGCAGACUUCCACAGAGACAGAACUGAGUGACUGGGAUGAGGACAGUGAGGAGGAAGAGAUUGGGGCGGUGAAAUUGGAGAUGAAACAGAAGAGCGAGGUCGUGAAGAAGAGGUCUGAGGGUGAACAGAGUGAGAAAAAGACAAAAGAGACAAAGCAAGAAAAGCAGACUUCAACAGAGACAGAACUGAGUGACUGGGAUGAGGACAGUGAGGAGGAAGAGAUUGUGUCGGGGAAAUUGACGAAGAAGAAACAGAAAGAGCUGGAAGAGAGGAAGAAGGAGGAGGAAAGGGUGAGAAAGGAGGAGAAGAAGAAGGAAGAAGAGCGCCUGAUGAAUAGGGAGGAGGACAAGAGGAAAGAGGAGGAGAAGAAGCUACUAGAACAGGUGAGCCUGAAAGUCCUGCAGGAAUCCUGGAAGAAGGCUAAAGGGGAGGACAGGAAGAGAUCUGAGGCACCCAAAAUGGAAGCAGAACAGCAGCGCCAGUGGGCAGUUUUUUUCAGUGAUUUGAGGGAGGAGGAGGAGGAGAACAGGAGGAAGGUGUUCGCUGUCCAGGGGGGAAACCAGAUGUUUCAUAAAAAUCAAGUUGUCAAGAGGACAACACACCAGGACCCAGGAAAUGAGUCAGCAAUAUCGGUGAGUUCAUCUGAGGACACUGGCUCUGAGUGGGAGCGGCAGUGGGAGGAAGAGAAGAGGAGGGAGAAGGAGAGGAAGGAGGAGGAGGAGAAGAGGAAGAGACUGGAAGAUAAGAAGAGGGAGGAGAUGGCGAAGGAACGGGAGGAGCAGAAGAAUAGAGAGGCGGAGGCGAAGUGGCAGGCACGUCUGGUUCCGAAGAAAAAGAAAGGUGUAUUUAAGUCAUUCUUCAACAUUUUCAUGUAAAUGAAAACAUGACAUAUUUUCAUCAUUUGAAUCAAGCGUUUAUCAAAUGGAAUAAAAAC